Podarcis lilfordi (Lilford's wall lizard) is the source of this 111-nucleotide non-coding RNA. NCBI's taxonomy places the organism in Eukaryota, Metazoa, Chordata, Lepidosauria, Squamata, Lacertidae. The record is from the annotation of a GenBank genome assembly.
UCCUAUGUAUACAUUUGAAGGAAAUGAGCACUCACACUAUGCUGUGGGUGCUACAGUUCCCAGGGAACAGCAUAGUGUGAGUGCUCAUUUCCUUCAAAUGUAUACAUAGGA